GCUGACCAAUUUGCAGUUCUAAUGAGCUCUGACUGACCAACUUUGGUAAUCCUAUAAUGAGUGUGACGGCAAUGAUGAUGAAAAUGCGGAAGAAAUAGAGAUCAAAUGCUAAUCCAUAGUUUGAAGACUUAUAGUUUUUGAUCAAUUGAAAGGGAGAAGUGUCAGAUGGUAGAAACAAAGUGAAUGUUUUGUUCACAUCUUCUCCUUGUCGUUUUUGCAUUUUAUCGCCCUGUGUGUUUGAGA
Non-coding RNA from Caenorhabditis elegans, 243 nucleotides. NCBI's taxonomy places the organism in Eukaryota, Metazoa, Nematoda, Chromadorea, Rhabditida, Rhabditidae. The record is from Ensembl.